UACGUAGGGGGCAAGCGUUGUCCGGAUUUAUUGGGCGUAAAGAGCUCGUAGGCGGUCUGUCGCGUCGGAUGUGAAAGCCCGGGGCUUAACCCCGGGUCUGCAUUCGAUACGGGCAGACUAGAGUGUGGUAGGGGAGAUCGGAAUUCCUGGUGUAGCGGUGAAAUGCGCAGAUAUCAGGAGGAACACCGGUGGCGAAGGCGGAUCUCUGGGCCAUUACUGACGCUGAGGAGCGAAAGCGUGGGGAGCGAACAGG
RNAcentral lists this ribosomal RNA (253 nucleotides) under uncultured bacterium. RNAcentral describes it as "partial 16S ribosomal RNA". It matches the Rfam family "Bacterial small subunit ribosomal RNA", at positions 524 to 776 of the family's 1533-position model. The record is from RNAcentral.